This 27-nucleotide non-coding RNA is filed under the name Bombyx mori (domestic silkworm). The record is from RNAcentral. Lineage: Eukaryota; Metazoa; Arthropoda; Insecta; Lepidoptera; Bombycidae.
UAACGAUAUUUGCGCCAUUGUCCGUGA